Molecule: long non-coding RNA, 365 nt
Filed under: Malus domestica (apple)
Lineage: Eukaryota; Viridiplantae; Streptophyta; Magnoliopsida; Rosales; Rosaceae
Description: long non-coding RNA (MDOM_LNC001413)
Source: RNAcentral
UAGUGUUAACCAAUUUCUUAGAAAGGUUAUGUUGUUUAGGUGUAUUGUAUUCCCUUGAUAAGUGAUGUAUACUUAUAAAUGAAAAGUUACAUCUCUUUAAUAAGUAGAAAUUGGAUUCUAUGUAAACCCAUGAAACCAUUGGUAUUAAAUAUAGAAAAUUAGAGUUAAUUUUUACUCUUGAGAAAUAUGGUUUCCCCACUUUGUUUCUCAAAUGAUUCGUGUGUCAAAUUCCAAGUCGUGUCUUAAGAGUACGAAAUAUAUAAAGUUCGCUAGAGUCCGAAAAUUAAAGUGCUUUGACUUCGGAUUAUAGAUUGUUGAAUCUUGGGAGAUGGACACCUACCGAACUACAAGCAUAAGAGUAUGGG